RNAcentral lists this ribosomal RNA (301 nucleotides) under uncultured bacterium. RNAcentral describes it as "partial 16S ribosomal RNA". It matches the Rfam family "Bacterial small subunit ribosomal RNA", at positions 509 to 809 of the family's 1533-position model. The record is from RNAcentral.
CAGCCGCCGCGGUAAUACAGAGGGUGCGAGCGUUAAUCGGAUUUACUGGGCGUAAAGCGUGCGUAGGCGGCUUUUUAAGUCGGAUGUGAAAUCCCUGAGCUUAACUUAGGAAUUGCAUUUGAUACUGGGAAGCUAGAGUAUGGGAGAGGAUGGUAGAAUUCCAGGUGUAGCGGUGAAAUGCGUAGAGAUCUGGAGGAAUACCGAUGGCGAAGGCAGCCAUCUGGCCUAAUACUGACGCUGAGGUACGAAAGCAUGGGGAGCAAACAGGAUUAGAUACCCCUGUAGUCCCUGUCUCUUAUAA